AGAAGAGGGAGGUGACGGCAUGGUUGAAGACCAUGGUCAGGAAAGUGGGACCACAUCCAGGCUGUUCUACCGACUGGUUGAUAGGUUUUUCUAUUUCUUCUUGACUCUAUUUUCCUCAUUUACACUUUCCUCGAACAUUGGGCCAUUUCAUAUUCAUCGAUGGAAUUCUAGAAGACAGGAUUGUCAACCUCUGGUUCUCAAAAGUGUGGUCUGCAGAGCCCUUGGGCAUCCCCAAGACCCUUCCAGGAGUCUGCAAGG
Molecule: long non-coding RNA, 258 nt
Filed under: Equus caballus (horse)
Lineage: Eukaryota; Metazoa; Chordata; Mammalia; Perissodactyla; Equidae
Description: lncRNA (ENSECAG00000059350.1)
Source: RNAcentral